This 564-nucleotide ribosomal RNA is filed under the name Salmonella enterica subsp. enterica serovar Paratyphi B var. L(+) tartrate +. RNAcentral describes it as "partial 23S ribosomal RNA". It matches the Rfam family "Bacterial large subunit ribosomal RNA", at positions 711 to 1271 of the family's 2925-position model. The record is from RNAcentral. Lineage: Bacteria; Pseudomonadati; Pseudomonadota; Gammaproteobacteria; Enterobacterales; Enterobacteriaceae.
AGACCCGAAACCCGGUGAUCUAGCCAUGGGCAGGUUGAAGGUUGGGUAACACUAACUGGAGGACCGAACCGACUAAUGUUGAAAAAUUAGCGGAUGACCUGUGGCUGGGGGUGAAAGGCCAAUCAAACCGGGAGAUAGCUGGUUCUCCCCGAAAGCUAUUUAGGUAGCGCCUCGUGAAUUCAUCUCCGGGGGUAGAGCACUGUUUCGGCUAGGGGGCCAUCCCGGCUUACCAACCCGAUGCAAACUGCGAAUACCGGAGAAUGUUAUCACGGGAGACACACGGCGGGUGCUAACGUCCGUCGUGAAGAGGGAAACAACCCAGACCGCCAGCUAAGGUCCCAAAGUCAUGGUUAAGUGGGAAACGAUGUGGGAAGGCCCAGACAGCCAGGAUGUUGGCUUAGAAGCAGCCAUCAUUUAAAGAAAGCGUAAUAGCUCACUGGUCGAGUCGGCCUGCGCGGAAGAUGUAACGGGGCUAAACCAUGCACCGAAGCUGCGGCAGCGACGCUUAUGCGUUGUUGGGUAGGGGAGCGUUCUGUAAGCCUGUGAAGGUGUGUCGUGAGGCAU